GGUGGUAGAGCGUGUGCUUUGCAUGCAUGAGGUCCUGGGUUCGGUUCCCAGUACCUCCA
This 59-nucleotide transfer RNA is filed under the name Camelus bactrianus (Bactrian camel). It matches the Rfam family "tRNA", at positions 14 to 71 of the family's 71-position model. Rfam says of the family: Transfer RNA (tRNA) molecules are approximately 80 nucleotides in length. Lineage: Eukaryota; Metazoa; Chordata; Mammalia; Artiodactyla; Camelidae. The record is from Rfam by way of RNAcentral. RNAcentral also lists the same sequence under 2 other names.